Molecule: ribosomal RNA, 253 nt
Filed under: uncultured prokaryote
Description: partial 16S ribosomal RNA
Rfam family: Bacterial small subunit ribosomal RNA
Source: RNAcentral
UACGAAGGGGGCGAGCGUUGUUCGGAUUUACUGGGCGUAAAGGGCGCGCAGGCGGCCAAUCAAGUCAGGCGUGAAAGCCCCGGGCUUAACCUGGGAACUGCGUCUGGGACUGAUUGGCUAGAGAUCGGGAGAGGAGAGUGGAAUUCCCAGUGUAGAGGUGAAAUUCGUAGAUAUUGGGAAGAACACCGGUGGCGAAGGCGGCUCUCUGGACCGAUACUGACGCUGAGGCGCGAAAGCGUGGGGAGCAAACAGG